UGAACGCUGGCGGCAGGCCUAACACAUGCAAGUCGAGCGGUAGAGAGAAGCUUGCUUCUCUUGAGAGCGGCGGACGGGUGAGUAAUGCCUAGGAAUCUGCCUGGUAGUGGGGGAUAACGUUCGGAAACGGACGCUAAUACCGCAUACGCCCUACGGGGGAAAGCAGGGGAUCGCAAGACCUUGCACUAUUAGAGCGGCCGAUAUCGGAUUAGCUAGUUGGUGGGGUAACGGCUCACCAAGGCGACGAUCCGUAGCUGGUUUGAGAGGACGACCAGCCACACUGGGACUGAGACACGGUCCAGACUCCUACGGGAGGCAGCAGUGGGGAAUAUUGGACAAUGGGCGAAAGCCUGAUCCAGCCAUGCCGCGUGUGUGAAGAAGGUCUUCGGAUUGUAAAGCACUUUAAGUUGGGAGGAAGGGCAGUUACCUAAUACGUGAUUGUUUUGACGUUACCGACAGAAUAAGCACCGGCUAACUCU
This 479-nucleotide ribosomal RNA is filed under the name uncultured bacterium. RNAcentral describes it as "bacterial SSU rRNA". It matches the Rfam family "Bacterial small subunit ribosomal RNA", at positions 30 to 504 of the family's 1533-position model. The record is from RNAcentral.